UGCCAGCCGCCGCGGUAAUACGGAGGGUGCAAGCGUUGUUCGGAAUUACUGGGCGUAAAGCGCGCGUAGGCGGCUUUUUAAGUCAGAUGUGAAAGUCCAUGGCUCAACCAUGGAAGUGCAUUUGAAACUGUAUAACUUGAGUACUGGAGGGGGUGGUGGAAUUCCCGGUGUAGAGGUGAAAUUUGUAGAUAUCGGAAGGAACACCAGUGGCGAAGGCGACUUCCUGGGCCAAUACUGACGCUGAGGUGCGAAAGCGUAGGGAGCAAACAGGAUUAGAUA
This 279-nucleotide ribosomal RNA is filed under the name uncultured bacterium. Its description in RNAcentral is "partial 16S ribosomal RNA". It matches the Rfam family "Bacterial small subunit ribosomal RNA", at positions 506 to 784 of the family's 1533-position model. The record is from RNAcentral.